This 468-nucleotide ribosomal RNA is filed under the name uncultured bacterium. RNAcentral describes it as "partial 16S ribosomal RNA". It matches the Rfam family "Bacterial small subunit ribosomal RNA", at positions 28 to 507 of the family's 1533-position model. The record is from RNAcentral.
GACGAACGCUGGCGGCGUGCUUAACACAUGCAAGUCGAACGGAAAGGCCCUGCUUUUGUGGGGUGCUCGAGUGGCGAACGGGUGAGUAACACGUGAGUAACCUGCCCUUGACUUUGGGAUAACUUCAGGAAACUGGGGCUAAUACCGGAUAGGAGCUCCUGCUGCAUGGUGGGGGUUGGAAAGUUUCGGCGGUUGGGGAUGGACUCGCGGCUUAUCAGCUUGUUGGUGGGGUAGUGGCUUACCAAGGCUUUGACGGGUAGCCGGCCUGAGAGGGUGACCGGCCACAUUGGGACUGAGAUACGGCCCAGACUCCUACGGGAGGCAGCAGUGGAGAAUAUUGCACAAUGGGCGGAAGCCUGAGGCAGCAACGCCGCGUGCGGGAUGACGGACUUCAGGUUGUAAACCGCUUUCGCCUGUGACGGAGCGUGAGUGACGGUAAUGAGUAAAGAAGCACCGGCUAACUACGUG